GACAGAGGUCCCGAGCGUUAGGCGGAAUCACUGGGCUUAAAGCGUGUGUAGGCGGAUUUGUAAGUACCUUGUGAAAUCCCACGGCUUAACCGUGGAACUGCUUGGUAUACUGCGAAUCUUGGGCCAUCUAGGGGCGAGCGGAACAAGUGGUGGAGCGGUGAAAUGCGUAGAUAUCACUUGGAACGCCAAUGGUGAAAACAGCUCGCUGGGGAUGUGCCGACGCUGAGACACGAAAGCCAGGGGAGCGAACGGG
Molecule: ribosomal RNA, 253 nt
Filed under: uncultured prokaryote
Description: partial 16S ribosomal RNA
Rfam family: Bacterial small subunit ribosomal RNA
Source: RNAcentral